AGUGGCGGACGGGUGAGUAAUAUAUCGGAACGUGCCCAGUAGCGGGGGAUAACUACUCGAAAGAGUGGCUAAUACCGCAUACGCCCUACGGGGGAAAGGGGGGGAUCGCAAGACCUCUCACUAUUGGAGCGGCCGAUAUCGGAUUAGCUAGUUGGUGGGGUAAAGGCUCACCAAGGCAACGAUCCGUAGCUGGUUUGAGAGGACGACCAGCCACACUGGGACUGAGACACGGCCCAGACUCCUACGGGAGGCAGCAGUGGGGAAUUUUGGACAAUGGGGGAAACCCUGAUCCAGCCAUCCCGCGUGUAUGAUGAAGGCCUUCGGGUUGUAAAGUACUUUUGGCAGAGAAGAAAAGGCAUCCCCUAAUACGGGAUGCUGCUGACGGUAUCUGCAGAAUAAGCACCGGCUAACUACGUGCCAGCAGCCGCGGUAAUACGUAGGGUGCAAGCGUUAAUCGGAAUUACUGGGCGUAAAGCGUGUGUAGGCGGUUCGGAAAGAAAGAUGUGAAAUCCCAGGGCUCAACCUUGGAACUGCAUUUUUAACUGCCGAGCUAGAGUAUGUCAGAGGGGGGUAGAAUUCCACGUGUAGCAGUGAAAUGCGUAGAUAUGUGGAGGAAUACCGAUGGCGAAGGCAGCCCCCUGGGAUAAUACUGACGCUCAGACACGAAAGCGUGGGGAGCAAACGGGAUUAGAUACCCUGGUAGUCCACGCCCUAAACGAUGUCAACUAGCUGUUGGGGCCGUUAGGCCUUAGUAGCGCAGCUAACGCGUGAA
Molecule: ribosomal RNA, 772 nt
Filed under: uncultured bacterium
Lineage: Bacteria
Description: bacterial SSU rRNA
Rfam family: Bacterial small subunit ribosomal RNA
Source: RNAcentral